Molecule: ribosomal RNA, 482 nt
Filed under: uncultured bacterium
Lineage: Bacteria
Description: bacterial SSU rRNA
Rfam family: Bacterial small subunit ribosomal RNA
Source: RNAcentral
UUGAACGCUGGCGGCAUGCCUUACACAUGCAAGUCGGGCGGCAGCGCGGGGGCAACCCUGGCGGCGAGCGGCGAACGGGUGAGUAACAUAUCGGAACGUACCCAGACGUGGGGGACAACUAGUCGAAAGACUAGCUAAUACCGCAUACGUCCUGAGGGAGAAAGCGGGGGAUCGCAAGACCUCGCGCGUUUGGAGCGGCCGAUAUCUGAUUAGCUAGAUGGUGGGGUAAAGGCCCACCAUGGCGACGAUCAGUAGCUGGUCUGAGAGGAUGAUCAGCCACACUGGAACUGAGACACGGUCCAGACUCCUACGGGAGGCAGCAGUGGGGAAUUUUGGACAAUGGGGGAAACCCUGAUCCAGCCAUUCCGCGUGAGUGAAGAAGGCCUUCGGGUUGUAAAGCUCUUUCGGCAGGAACGAAACGGCGGAAUCUAAUACAUUCCACUAAUGACGGUACCUGAAGAAGAAGCACCGGCUAACUACGU